CGUACACUCCUACGGGAGGCAGCAGUGGGGAAUAUUGCACAAUGGGCGCAAGCCUGAUGCAGCGACGCCGCGUGGGGGAUGAAGGCCUUCGGGUUGUAAACUCCUUUCGCUAGGGACGAAGCUUUUUUGUGACGGUACCUAGAUAAGAAGCACCGGCUAACUACGUGCCAGCAGCCGCGGUAAUACGUAGGGUGCGAGCGUUGUCCGGAAUUACUGGGCGUAAAGGGCUCGUAGGUGGUUUGUCGCGUCGUCUGUGAAAUUCUGGGGCUUAACUCCGGGCGUGCAGGCGAUACGGGCAUAACGUGAGUGCUGUAGGGGUAACUGGAAUUCCUGGUGUAGCGGUGAAAUGCGCAGAUAUCAGGAGGAACAUCGAUGGCGAAGGCAGGUUACUGGGCAGUUACUGACGCUGAGGAGCGAAAGCAUGGGUAGCGAACAGGAUUAGAUACCCGAGUAGUCCCAUGA
This 462-nucleotide ribosomal RNA is filed under the name uncultured organism. RNAcentral's name for it is "partial 16S ribosomal RNA". It matches the Rfam family "Bacterial small subunit ribosomal RNA", at positions 330 to 800 of the family's 1533-position model. The record is from RNAcentral.